Molecule: ribosomal RNA, 440 nt
Filed under: uncultured bacterium
Lineage: Bacteria
Description: bacterial SSU rRNA
Rfam family: Bacterial small subunit ribosomal RNA
Source: RNAcentral
CCUACGGGUGGCAGCAGUGAGGAAUAUUGCACAAUGGGCGCAAGCCUGAUGCAGCGACGCCGCGUGGGUGACGAAGGUCUUCGGAUCGUAAAGCCCUUUUCUGCGUGACGAGCAAGGACGGUAGCGCAGGAAUAAGUCUCGGCUAACUACGUGCCAGCAGCCGCGGUAAAACGUAGGAGACAAACGUUAUCCGGAGUUACUGGGCGUAAAGGGCGUGCAGGUGGUCUGUUAAGUCUGGCGUGAAAGCUCCCGGCUAAACCGGGAGAGGUCGUUGGAUACUGGCGGACUAGAGGACGGUAGAGGCGGGUGGAAUUCCGGGUGUAGUGGUGAAAUGCGUAGAGAUCCGGAGGAACACCAGUGGCGAAGGCGACCCGCUGGGCCGUACCUGACACUGAGACGCGACAGCAUGGGGAGCGAACGGGAUUAGAUACCCUAGUAGU